AAUGUGACAUUCCUAGAAAUCUUAUUCUCUCUAUACUAUUUACAUGCUGCAUGAUCCUUGUUUUCUUACCACUCCAAUUCUCUCGCACUAUCACAAAUUGUGUUGAGGACAGUUCAACCUAAACUAAAGCAAGUGAAUCUUAAAUUUUGGUUUGUCUUUCUAGAUGUUGAUAGGCAAGAACAUAGCAACUCAUUUUCAGAGUACAUUUUCUAUCACACCCAAGGAUGUCACCAGGCGCUCAAGCAC
This 246-nucleotide long non-coding RNA is filed under the name Musa acuminata (dwarf banana). RNAcentral describes it as "long non-coding RNA (MACU_LNC001880)". Lineage: Eukaryota; Viridiplantae; Streptophyta; Magnoliopsida; Zingiberales; Musaceae. The record is from RNAcentral.